GCGUGAGCCUAGAGUUAUGGAAGAACUUGUAGUUCUUAAUUCUGGAAGUAGGACAGUAUCUUCCAAGCAACCAGAUCGACAGCAAAACGGGGAAAUCUUGUCAGACAUAAAAGAAGCUUCAAAUAUCCGAUUCUGUCUCCACUUGCAGGUGACGAAAAACUGCAAAACCCAAUCUCCUGUAAGCAAAACUCUGAAAGGAACAAAGAAGCAAAAGAGUUAGACAAUAUAUUUUGAGGAAUGAAUUAUGUAACAUUCAAAAGCACCACACAACAUCAAUAAACGAAAUCCGAUAAAUCAGAGCAUUACAGUUACAAACAAACGCAACAGGACGAGAAAAAAUAGACAAGGAGACAAGGAUCAAUCAAAAGUCGAAGGCGAAAAUUCCGAUCUGUGUCAAAUCUCAGUCAAAUAAGGUUCAUAAUCAUAUCAUUAGUUUCGAUCGUUUAGCUCACCAGAAACAAAAUAUAAUCAGAUAACUGGAAAAUUCGAAGCUUAAGAAAACGAACCAGAUCCCUCUAACAACACCAAUAGACAAACAAAAAUCACACGAGAUUGAAACAACAACAAAAACAAAUAUCGAAGAAAUCUAUCGCCCAAAAAAGCAAAAUCCCUAAUACGCCUGGAAAAAAAAAGGUUCAAGGAUCUGGAGAAAUACCUCUUUCUAUUAGACGAGGAGGAAAUCGAAGACACAAGAAGCGAUUGAUACGGAAUAAAGAGUUCGUCGUUGAGAGGCGUUUGAUUAUAUAGGAAGAGAGUUGUUGGAGAUAUUAGGGUUAACUUGGGAAUAGAAAAGGAAAAAUACCCAAAUUUUAUUUUACAGUAUUUCGACUUUUCCGUUUCGAAAGUAUUUUCCUUCUCCUCGAGUAAUUCAUUUAAUUUCCCAUCUGUUUCAGGAUUAAGGAUGAAAGGCCGCCAGCGAUGUUUCUGCUUCAAUCUUUGAUUGGCCACAUGUUUACACGUGUUGUUUUUUCUUGUACCUUUUAUCUUUUGUAUUUGGGUUAAUGUUGGGCUUUAAUUUGUUUUCAGUUGGGUUUUGGAUGCUAAUCACCACUUGUAAUGCCCAUGUUUUUGGACUUUCGUUUAUAAAAUGAAUAGAUGACAAAAGAAAGACCCAAUAGGAAUGGCUUGCUUUAUUUAUUUAAUUUUCUUUCGACUGUAACUUAUUUUUUAUAUUUUCCGAUUCAGAAGUAUAUUUCUUUCUCCUAAUAACAUAUUUUUCGUUACAUUGUAGAAAAAAUGUCUGGUAAUAUCUUAGAAAUAAAUUAUGUUUUAGUCUUUUAGACCAUGGGUUACUCAACAAAUACACUUUAAUAAGUCCGAAAAAAAUACACUUUAAUAUUAGUAGAUAUUAUAAAAAAAAUAAAUAGUUUCUAUAAUACAUAUAAAAAAAAAUUAUCAAGGUACCUUCUCGGUAAUUAUCAAACCCAAAUACCAUUUAAGAGUUGUAGUUCAAAUCAACUCUCUUCUCUAUUCAACAAUUUUGAUAUUAAUCUUAUCAUUUAACCAAAAAAACCAUUUAUUGUUAUAAACAAAUGGAUUUCUAGUAACCGGUCCACUAACCAUCAGGUUAAUGUCUUAUGGCUCAUUAGGAUUUAUGAUGCAUUAGUUAUGUAAUAUAUAUAUACACUGCUUAUGGAAAUAAUAAGACCAGAGUUUUUUCCCUUAAUACGUUAUCAGCACGAAGCUCAACUUCAAACGAUCAUACUCUCAAAAUACAAGGAGUUAGAAGGCGAUCUACAUAUCAUUUUGAAGCCCUGGAAGAGAAGAAUCUAGUGGUGAAAACCGCUCCUCAAUCCGACACCAGACGCGCCCUCAAGACUCAAAACAAUCGGCACUGUCCCACCUUCGCGGGUUAUUCUUUCCAAGCGGUGGUUCCUCCAUUGUAGCAGCUGUUCGUCCUCCCUUCUGACCAUCAUUCUCAGAAGUUUCCAGUAGAUAUCUGUGGUCUUUAGCUCCCAAAUCAUAAGCCGGUCAGAAAUCCAUUUGGCGAAAAAGUAUUAUCUAAACCCUAAUGCUUUGUUCAAACCCUAUACCGAUCGGUCCUAGCAUCAUCUAAACCAAACACUAAAAUUCCUUGCAAACCGAAACCUAAAUCUUUGCAAAACCCUAGAUCUAAAAUCGUUUUGGUUUGUCUAUCGUUAAACCGAGAUCGAUCGGUUUAAAUCCUAAACCGAUCGGUUAUUUAUCUUAGAUCCGAUCCUUGAAAACCCUAAAACCGGUCCAUGCAAGCUCCUAAAUCCUAAACCAAUCGACCCCUUAAACUCUAAACCAAUCGAUCCACCUAAACCGUUUAUAAACCGAUAAAUUCUAAUCCUAAAUCGAUAGGGUUUAAGUUUAAACCGAUCGGUUUUUCCUAAUAAAAAUUAAACCCUAGCAAAUCCGUUUAGUUUAAUCCCUUAACCGAUUAAUAACCCUAAUAACCGGUUUCCAAAAUUAAAUCUAAUUUAACCGGUUUUGUUGUUUAAUCGAUCAAUCCGAUCGGUUUAAGCUUAAUCGGUUAAUUUCAAAUUAGUUUAUCUAUUAGAGCUAAAUUUGGAAACCCUAGUAAACCGGCUAGGUUAUAAACCCUAAGGUUCGAUUUUAGAGUUCCCUUAUAUAGCAAGUUUCCUAAAAUAGCAAGUUUCCUGAAAUGGAAAGUUUUCCCAAGAAUACCUUAAAUCCCUUAUUCCAAUGAUCAUAGUCUCAUACUAUUGAUUAUUUAACAUAAAUUAUUAUAUGUUUCAGAUGUCAAAUAUUCAGAAGGUCGAAUAUGAGGCACUCACUGUCUCCGGAGAUAACUACCUCAAAUGGGCCAUUGACACCAAGAUCUACCUCAACUCAAAAAGUCUGGGUGAAUGCAUCCAAGAUCCCAACACCGCGACUCAAACAGAACGGUACUCGGCGAUAUUUAUUAUCCGCCAUCACCUCGCUGAGUCUCUCAAGCAACAAUACCUCACUCUUGAGGAUCCACUCGAACUUUGGGUGGCACUGAAAAAGCGAUAUGACCAUCAGAAAACGGUCAUACUGCCCCAAGCCAAGUUCGAUUGGAAGAACCUACGGUUCGAAGAUUUCAAAUCCGUCGAAGAAUUCAAUUCCGAACUCUUUCGGAUAGUUGCACUCAUAAGACUAUGUGGCGAGCAGGUCACUGAUAAGGAUAUGCUAGAGAAAACAUUCUCUACUUUUGGCACUCCCAAUGUUGUUCUCCAACAACAAUACCGUGCCAUGAAUCAUAGCACCUAUGAGGAUUUGAUAUCUUGCUUACUGCUUGCUGAGAAGAACAAUCAGCUUCUGUUUAGGAACAGUGCCAUGCGGCCUCCAGGAUCAGCCCCAUUGCCAAAAGGAACCAGAAAAGAGUCCAACUUCGUCCAACGUAACAGAUCCUCAGAUCGUGGACGUGGACGUGGAAAUGGACAUGGACUGCGCGGCAGAGGACGCGAUAGACCGAACCAAGAUAACCGACCUAGCCUCAGUUUUGGUCGGGGUAAGGGUCGUGGUAUCAACAAACCGACCCAAAGAGGCAGUUCAUCUAGACCAACUCCUUGCUCAAGAUGCGGAAUGACUAAUCAUUGGGUCAAGAUCUGCCGUACUCCCAAAUAUCUUGCUGAGCUCUACUAGAAGUAUGGGAAAGAUAAUCAUGAGGCUAACCUGGUUCAUCAAGUCAAUGAAGAUGACUCAAAGGAUGAUAAGAUUGAUGGCAUGGAUUAUGAGCUCUCCGACCUCCUUGAUUGAUCUCAAAAAUCUGAAUUUGUUUUUCAUUAUUCCUUAAACUUUUAUCUUUUGUUUUUGGGAUUUAUUGUCUUUACUUUGGAUUUUUAAGACCUUUUUGCUUUUACAUUUUAAUUUAUGGAGUAAUGUUUUAUUUACAUCUCAUUUUUGCAUGUUAUUGAAUUAUAAUUCUUGUUUAAUGAAGAUAUGCAAGACAAUAUGGAUAUCAUUGUGGAUAGUGGAUCGAGCCACACCAUUCUAAAAGACAAGAAUUACUUCAUAAAUUUAGUAAUCAAAACCGCAAACAUUAGCACUAUAGCGGGUAGUUCGAGCCUAAUAGAGGGCUAUGGCCAAGCUAAUGUGCUGUUAUCAAAUGGCACAUAUCUAGACAUCUCUGAUGCCUUAUACUCACCCAGUUCUAAGAGAAACCUAUUGAGUUUCAAAGACAUAAGAUUGAAUGGUUUUCAUAUCGAAACUCAGGAUGAAGGGAACAAAGAGUUUUUAAUUAUCACUAAAAUGAUAAAUGGCCAUAAACAAGUUUUUGAAACUAUACCCGCCGUAUCUACUGGCAUUUACCAUGCUAAAGUCAGUAUGAUUGAGGCUAAUGCUGCUAUCAAAGCACGGUUUUUAGAUUACACUAUUUGGCAUGAUCGCCUGGGUCAUCCCGGUGCGAACAUGAUGCGUAAAUUAGUCCAGAAUUCUAAAGGGCACAGCCUUAAACCAAAUGGUAUUUUCCCUCAGCACCUCAAGUGCACAGCUUGCUCACAAGGGAAACUGAUUACCCGACUUUCACCAGUCAAAGUGUCUAAAGAGACCUUGAACUUUCUGGAAAGAAUCCAAGGAGACAUAUGUGGACCAAUUCACCCACCUUGUGGGACAUUCAGAUAUUUCAUGGUCCUCAUUGACGCAUCGACCCGGUGGUCACAUGUCUGUCUGCUCUCUUCUAGGAACCAGGCUUUUGCUAGGUUAUUGGCCCAAAUCAUCAGAUUACGAGCCCAUUUUCCAGACUUCCCAUUAAAGACUAUACGUCUUGAUAAUGCUGGUGAAUUCACUUCCCAAGCGUUUAAUGAAUAUUGUAUGUCCAUGGGGGUAAGUGUUGAACAUCCCGUUCCACAUGUCCAUACACAAAAUGGAUUAGCUGAAUCCUUCAUUAAACGAAUUCAAUGGGUUGCUAGACCAUUACUCAUGAGGUCACAACUCCCGGUCUCAGCUUGGGGACACGCAGUCUUACAUGCGGCUGAACUAAUACGCAUACGACCAUCUAGUGAGCACAAAUAUUCACCAUCCCAAUUGCUAACGGGUCAUGAGCCAGACGUCUCCCAUAUUAAAACGUUUGGGUGUUCAGUCUAUGUACCCAUUGCACCACCAUAGAGGACUAAAAUGGGACCUCAAAGGAGGAUGGGAAUAUAUGUUGGUUUUGAUUCUCCCACCAUCAUAAAAUAUCUCGAGCCAACUACAGGAGAUCUGUUCAAAGCCAGAUAUGCAGAUUGCCGAUUUGAUGAAUCGGUAUAUCCUAGAUUAUGUGGUGAGACAGACAAGCUGGUAAAAGAACUUUCAUGGAAUCAAACAUCCACACAAUGGCAAGAUCCUCGGACUCUAGAAUGUGAUUCAGAGGUCCAAAGAAUUAUACAUUUAUAAAAGCUAGCUAAUCAAUUGCCAGAUUCCUUUGCUGACCCGAACAAAGUUACCAAAUCGUACAUACCAGCUUGUAAUGCACCAGUACGAAUAGAUGUCCCCUCAGGGAAAAGUCAAGUUGCUACAGAGUCUGACGCACGUAAGAAACGUGGCAGACCACCAGGUUCCAAAGAUAAGAAUCCCCGGAAAUCAAAGAAAGGUGCAAUGAUUGAAACCGGGAUUCAAGAGAACACGGAUACAGCCUCAGCUGAUACUUACCCUAUCGAACCAUCUCAAGAGGUUUGGGACGCCAAAACUCAAGGUUCUGAAGGGAUUGAUAAUAAUGAGAUCUCAAUCAAUUAUAUCAUAUUCGGUUCUCUAUGGAACAGAAAAGAUGUCGACAUCAAUGAAACUUUUGCAUACAAAGUAGCACUUGAGAUUGCGCACACGCAAGAUGAUCUAGAACCCACGUCUAUAAUUGAGUGCACUCGUAGAUCAGAUUGGCUGAAAUGGAAAGAAGCUAUAAACGUGGAGUUGAAUAGUUUAAAGAAACGGAAUGUGUUUGGUCCGAUCUUAAGGACACCAUUCGAUGUUAAACCAGUGGGAAACAAAUGGGUCUUUGUGCGUAAAAGAAACGAACUCGGCGAAGUCGUUAGAUACAAGGCACGCCUUGUAGCACAAGGAUUCUCACAGAGACCCGGAAUCAAUUAUGAGGAGACUUAUUCUCCAGUGGUGGAUGCAACUACAUUUCGAUUCCUCAUAAGUCUGGCCAUAAGAGAAAACUUAGAUUUGCUGUUAAUGGAUGUUGUAACCGCAUAUCUUUAUGGACCACUGGACAGUGAAAUCUAUAUGAGAUUACCAGAUGGUAUUAAGCUCAAAGAUAAGCAUGCAUCUCGUGAUAAACACUGCAUUAGGCUGAACAAAUCCUUAUAUAGACUGAAACAAAGCGGACGUAUGUGGUAUAACCGGUUAAGCGAAUAUCUCAUCAGAGAAGGCUACGAAAACGAUCCGAUCAGUCCAUGCAUCUUCAUUAGAAAAUAUCAAAACAAAGGAUUUGUAAUCAUAGCAGUAUACGUGGAUGACUUGAACAUCCUCGGAACAUCUGGUGAAAUCGCCCAAACAGUUGAAUGCUUAAAAGCAGAGUUUGAAAUGAAAGACUUAGGCAAAACUAAAUUCUGUUUGGGAUUACAACUUGAGUACGUCAAUGACGGAAUCCUUAUGCAUCAAUUGGCAUACACUGAAAAGGUACUCAAGAGAUUCAAUAUGGACCAGGCCCACCCAUUGACCAGCCCAAUGGUUGUGAGGAGCCUUGGAUUGGAUAGUGAUCCAUUCGGUCCAAAGAAGGACGAUGAAGAAAUCCUCGGUCCUGAAAUGACAUACCUCAGUGCCAUAGGAGCAUUAAUGUACUUGGCUAAUCACACUAGACCAGACAUCUGCUUUGCCGUGAGCCUCUUAGCUCGCUUUAGUUCGUGUCCAACUCAAAGGCACUGGAACGGUAUUAAGCAUAUCCUUAGAUACCUUCAAGGUACUAAGGACUUGGCAUUAUUUUAUUCUAACCAUAACGAGGAUGGUCUAGUUGGUUUUGCUGAUGCAGGAUAUUUGUCAGAUCCGCACUGUGCCCGGUCUCAAACCGGUUAUGUUUUCACGCAUGGAGGAACAGCCAUAUCUUGGAGAUCCAUGAAGCAGACUAUUGCCGCUACCUCAUCCAACCAUGCGGAAAUCUUGGCCAUUCACGAAGCUAGUAGAGAGUGUGUUUGGUUGCGGUCCAUGACUCAGCAUAUCCGAUCAGAUUGUGGUAUAGACGAAGAUAAGGAGCCUACGGUGAUGUAUGAAGACAAUGCAGCUUGUAUCGCUCAACUCAAGGACGGCUACAUCAAAGGUGACCGGACGAAGCAUAUUCUGCCCAAAUUCUUCUUCACUCAUGAGCUACAGAAGGAUGGUCAGGUCAAGGUUCAGCAAGUCCGAUCAAGCGAAAAUUCAGCCGAUCUAUUCACUAAAUCAUUACCGACUUCUACACUCCGGAAGCUCAUUCAUCAGAUAGGAAUGCGUAGACUUAGAGAUCUACAGUGAUGCCUAAACCAGGGGGAGUAAUGCGUGUUGUACUCUUUUUUCUUCACCAUGGUUUUUCCCACUGGGUUUUCCUGGUAAGGUUUUAAUGAGACAACGUUCCCCAGCGCAUUAUAGAGAUCCCGGUUUUGUGACAGGCACGGUUACCUUGUCCAAGGGGGAGUGUUAUAAACAAAUGGACUUCUAGUAACCGGCCCAUUAACCAUUAGGUUAAUGUCUCAUGACCCAUUAAGGUUUCUGAUGCAUUAGUUAUGUAAUGUAUAUAUACACUGCUUAUGGAAAUAAUAAAAUCAGAAAUAAGCUAAAACUUCUUAUUUAUUUUUUUUUUUUUUUUGCAUAUAGCUAAGGAUUUUUCUGGCAAGUAUGUGAUGCCAGGUUCGUCUAGAAGUCUCCCAUCAUUGGAAACAACUAAUUUGAUAAAUUGGUAUAUUCCAAAUCCGCCAAAGAUUUCAGAGCUAUCACAUUAUUAAGGACAGAUUCUUGUUGUUAUAUCUGCUCUGAUUUUCUUAUCUUUAUGUGGAUCAAACAAGUUUUGAUGCGGUAAAUUGGUUCCUCCCUAUUUUGCUUGAGCAUGAGAACAAGUGAAGAAUAUAUGCUCCAUUUUUUUUUUGUCUUCUACAAGAGUUAAGUUAGGAACAUUGAUUAGCAUGCAUUUAUUCUGGUUCAUUCAAUUCAAACCCCGUAUAUUUUUGUAUUUCAUUCAUAUAACUACAUAAGGCUUUGAGCGAUUUUUGUUUAUUGUCACUUAUGAGUUAGAAAAACCUCAUGAUGUUGCUUUGAGCAUGAGAACAAGUUCAUUAUGUGCAUAUGUCUGAAUGUUUUUCUUGAUAUAUAAAUCUAAAUUCACUCAUUAUUCUAACCGUGGAUAUUAAUUUUAGUAAGAGACGCGUAACAUAUGGUAGAUAAAAAUGGUGAUGUUGAGAUUUUGGUGUUCAAUCUAUCUCUUUGGACCCGGCCCGGUUCGGUCUUAAAGCCAUAAAGUCUUUAGACCAUUAGGUGAAAAAUUACAGAAGUGGAAGACGCAGACGUACACAAUCGAAAAUUUAAGACUCAAGCAUAAGCUCCGAAAUGCCAAACAAUUCCCUCAACAGUUCUUCAGAACUAAACCGGAUUUUAAUAAGGAUGUUGAUUUAAGGGUGUCUAAAUGGGUUGAAGUUGAUGAGCCACCCCAACCCAAUACAACUAUAAAAUAAUACGUUGAAAAAUCAGUUUUCAUUAGAACAAAACUCGACCAUGGUACUUUUCGUUAAUAUAUCUGUCAAAUCAAUGUAACGUCAAUAAUCGUCCUACGCUUAGCAAACACGUAAAGAUAAACAGUAUGAUUAGUUAACAUAUUUAUUGAAUAGAUUAUAGCAACAAGUACGAACAACCAUUUGUAAAUUUUUGUAUGAUGAAAUAAACAAUAAUAAAAGUCAGAUCGCAUUUUUCAAAAAAAGAUGCUUUUAUAUCCUCCGAAAGAAAUAACGCAGGGAAACAGACGAAAAACUGAAACAAAAACCCAUUACAAAGAAACGGCCAAGGAGCAAUAAGAAGUCUCAAUCCUCCUCUUCCGACUCCGACUCAGCGCUCUGGAGCCACUCGACAAAAGGCUGCACCUUUUUCCAAACCGGCGAGCUUUUGUCAACUCCGGUCAGACCCUUUUGGUACCAUUCCAAAACAAACUCUUCCUCAAUGAUGUCUUGAUCGUACAAUGCUUUAAGAACCAGAGCCACCUCUUUGACCGCUUCUUCGUUUCCAUUCUUUCCGCAGAAUGAUUCGAUCGAAUUGAGAAGAUGCAUCUGUGAUCCAUCCUCUUGCGUUGCAGCCACCAAGUAGUUCUUCUUCUUCGUCACUUCCUUGGCAAAUCCUUUGCCCACACCAUCAAAGAGUGCAGUGAAGAGUGCGUCCAUGACGUCUUGAGGAGGAUCAGAGCGAGAGGAGAUGAAAUUUUUGAGCUCGCUUAUCGGUGAACCUUUCUUCAGAUGCUCUUUCAUCUCCUGCACUAGCUUCUCCAGCGGUUUCUCAGUUUUCACAUCUCCGUUAGCUAGGCCUUUGGGCACCUUUUUCUCUUCUUCUUCUCUAGCAGUGAGCAUCACCAACUCGGCAGUUGCAGCGCUUAACUGUUCUUUCAUUCUUUUCUCAGCGGCUUCUCGGGAAGUAUCGGUUUGCCACUGGAUAUCAUCAUCGUCUUCAUCAUCGUCCACUUCCUGCGCAAUCUCAUCAUGCUUCGGGCUGAUAUCCUCAUCAGAAGUAUGAUUCUUGGACGUCUUAGAAGAAGAAGCAUCCUUCCCGUUGGUAGAAGCUUUCUUCUUAGCUUCCUUCUUCAACUUUCUCUGCUCCUCAUCGGCUGCUUCGCCUUCUUUGAGUCUCUCCUUCUCAGCCCUUCUCAUUGCUUUCUUGUCUUUUGAGCCCUUCUUCGCCUCCGGUGGGUUCUUUAAAAUGAAUGUUGUCAGUUUAUCCCUCAUGUCAACCUCAGAGAUAAACCCGCAAGCAGCACACUUGAGAUUCACCAUCUGCGUCUUUGUGAUGAUAAUCUCAGUCUCAGGGUUGCCACAUCCAUAGCACUGGACAUACUUCUUAAUGAAAACCUCCAGAAGCGAGGCAAGCUUGGGGGUAGUGUGGGCUCCAUUCACAAGCGAUGUCCCGGUCUUCUCGUCAAAUUUGGACUGAGCACCGAGCUCACAGCCAAAGUACUUGGUCGUGUAAGAAGGAGGCCUCCCCAAGGCUUUGGCAAUCUCAACAUUGUUGAUAAUGUUAGUCUUGAUGCCAUUGCCUUUGCCUUCAGUCUUGGUAAGCAUCUUUGGCAUCUUGUACCUGUAAAAGGCAUCGUUACGGUUGGAUUCACCAAUGUUCUGCAGCGCCAUCUUGAGAUCUUGCUAGACGGGGAAAAAGGGAUCAAUGGCUUUCUUUGAACCGGGAAACUGAGUUAAAGGAGUCUCCGGUUUGAAAAUGCGUGAGCCUAGAGUUAUGGAAGAACUUGUAGUUCUUAAUUCUGGAUGUAGGACAGUAUUUUCCAAGCAACCAGAUAGAAAGCAAAACGGGGAAAUCUUGUCAGACAUAAAAGAAGCUUCAAAUAUCCGAUUCUGUCUCCACUUGCAGGUGACGAAAAACUGCAAAACCCAAUCUCCGGUAAAGCAAAACUCUGAAAGGAACAAAUAAGCAAAGGAAUUAGACAAGCUAUCGAGCAAAUUCAAAAGAACCACACAACAUCAAUGAACGAAAUCGAUCAAUCAGAGCAUUACAGUUUACAAACAAACACAACAGGACGACAAAAAUUAGACAACGAGACAAGGAUUAAUCAAAAUUCGAAGGCGAAAAUUCCGAUCUGUGUCAAAUCUCAGUCAAUAAGGUUCAUAAUCAUCAUCAGUUUCAAUCGUUUAGCUCACCAGAAACAAAAUAUAAUCAGAUAAAUGGAGAAUUCGACCGCCUAAGAAAACGGCCCAGAUCCCUCUAACAACACGCCAGUAGACAAACAACAAUCACACGAGAUUAAAACAACAACAAAAACAAAUAUCGAAGAAUCUAUCGCCCAAUAAAGCAAAAUCACUAAUACGCCUGGAAGAAAAAAGGUACAAGGAUCUAGAGAAAU
Molecule: long non-coding RNA, 10933 nt
Filed under: Eutrema salsugineum
Lineage: Eukaryota; Viridiplantae; Streptophyta; Magnoliopsida; Brassicales; Brassicaceae
Description: long non-coding RNA (ESAL_LNC000022)
Source: RNAcentral